Molecule: ribosomal RNA, 710 nt
Filed under: uncultured bacterium
Lineage: Bacteria
Description: bacterial SSU rRNA
Rfam family: Bacterial small subunit ribosomal RNA
Source: RNAcentral
AGCGGCGGACGGGUGAGUAACGCGUGGGUAACCUGCCUCAUACACAUGGAUAACAUACCGAAAGGUAUGCUAAUACAAGAUGAUAUAAGAGAUUCGCAUGGAUUUCUUAUCAAAGCUCCGGCGGUAUGAGAUGGACCCGCGUCUGAUUAGCUAGUUGGUAAGGUAACGGCUUACCAAGGCGACGAUCAGUAGCCGACCUGAGAGGGUGAUCGGCCACAUUGGAACUGAGACACGGUCCAAACUCCUACGGGAGGCAGCAGUGGGGAAUAUUGCACAAUGGGCGAAAGCCUGAUGCAGCAACGCCGCGUGAGCGAUGAAGGCCUUCGGGUCGUAAAACUCUGUCCUCAAGGAAGAUAAUGACGGUACUUGAGGAGGAAGCCCCGGCUAACUACGUGCCAGCAGCCGCGGUAAUACGUAGGGGGCUAGCGUUAUCCGGAUUUACUGGGCGUAAAGGGUGCGUAGGUGGUCUCUUAAGUCAGGAGUGAAAGGCUACGGCUUAACCGUAGUAAGCUCUUGAAACUGAGAGACUUGAGUGCAGGAGAGGAAAGUGGAAUUCCUAGUGUAGCGGUGAAAUGCGUAGAUAUUAGGAGGAACACCAGUAGCGAAGGCGGCUUUCUGGACUGUAACUGACACUGAGGCACGAAAGCGUGGGGAGCAAACAGGAUUAGAUACCCUGGUAGUCCACGCCGUAAACGAUGAGUACUAGGUGU